Molecule: long non-coding RNA, 527 nt
Filed under: Homo sapiens (human)
Lineage: Eukaryota; Metazoa; Chordata; Mammalia; Primates; Hominidae
Description: long non-coding RNA NONHSAT093700.2
Source: RNAcentral
CGGUGGUGUUCAGUACGCCACAAGCGACACAAAUGAACACGCCUUCUCAGCCCCGCCAGACUUCUACCCUAGCCGGGCCCAGCCCCCGAGCAGUGCAGCCUCCCGAGUGCAGAGUGCAGCCCCUGCCCGCCCUGGCCCAGCUGCCCAUGUCUACCCUGCUGGAUCCCAAGUAAUGAUGAUCCCUUCCCAGAUCUCCUACCCAGCCUCCCAGGGGGCCUACUACAUCCCUGGACAGGGCGUUCCACAUACGUUGUCCCGACACAGCAGUACCCUGUGCAGCCAGGAGCCCCAGGCUUCUAUCCAGGUGCAAGCCCUACAGAAUUUGGGACCUACGUGGCGCCUACUAUCCAGCCCAAGGGGUGCAGCAGUUUCCCACUGGCGUGGCCCCCACCCCAGUUUUGAUGAACCAGCCACCCCAGAUUGCUCCCAAGAGGGAGCGUAAGACGUCCGAAUUCGAGAUCCAAACCAAGGAGGAAAGGAUAUCACAGAGGAGAUCAUGUCUGGGGCCCGCACUGCCUCCACACCCA